Molecule: ribosomal RNA, 253 nt
Filed under: uncultured bacterium
Lineage: Bacteria
Description: partial 16S ribosomal RNA
Rfam family: Bacterial small subunit ribosomal RNA
Source: RNAcentral
UACAGAGGCCUCGAGCGUUAGGCGGAAUCACUGGGCUUAAAGCGUGUGUAGGCGGACUUCUAAGUAUCUUGUGAAAUCCCCCGGCUCAACCGGGGAAGUGGCGCCGAUACGACCUUCCUGGAGGGACGUAGGGGGACCUGGAACUUCCGGUGGAGCGGUGAAAUGCGUUGAGAUCGGAAGGAACACCAAUGGCGAAGGCAGGGUCCUGGCUGGCACCUGACGCUCAUGUGCGAAAGCCAGGGGAGCGAACGGG